RNAcentral lists this ribosomal RNA (492 nucleotides) under uncultured bacterium. RNAcentral describes it as "partial 16S ribosomal RNA". It matches the Rfam family "Bacterial small subunit ribosomal RNA", at positions 29 to 507 of the family's 1533-position model. The record is from RNAcentral.
AGUGAACGCUGGCGGUAGGCCUAACACAUGCAAGUCGAACGGCAGCACAGUAAGAUCUCGCUCUUACGGGUGGCGAGUGGCGGACGGGUGAGGAAUACAUCGGAAUCUACUUUUUCGUGGGGGAUAACGUAGGGAAACUUACGCUAAUACCGCAUACGACCUACGGGUGAAAGCAGGGGAUCUUCGGACCUUGCGCGAUUGAAUGAGCCGAUGUCGGAUUAGCUAGUUGGCGGGGUAAAGGCCCACCAAGGCGACGAUCCGUAGCUGGUCUGAGAGGAUGAUCAGCCACACUGGAACUGAGACACGGUCCAGACUCCUACGGGAGGCAGCAGUGGGGAAUAUUGGACAAUGGGCGCAAGCCUGAUCCAGCCAUACCGCGUGGGUGAAGAAGGCCUUCGGGUUGUAAAGCCCUUUUGUUGGGAAAGAAAAGCAGCAGGUUAAUACCCCGCUGUUCUGACGGUACCCAAAGAAUAAGCACCGGCUAACUUCGUG